GACGAACGCUGGCGGCGUGCUUAACACAUGCAAGUCGAACGGAAAGGCCCUGCUUUUGUGGGGUGCUCGAGUGGCGAACGGGUGAGUAACACGUGAGUAACCUGCCCUUGACUUUGGGAUAACUUCAGGAAACUGGGGCUAAUACCGGAUAGGAGCUCCUGCUGCAUGGUGGGGGUUGGAAAGUUUCGGCGGUUGGGGAUGGACUCGCGGCUUAUCAGCUUGUUGGUGGGGUAGUGGCUUACCAAGGCUUUGACGGGUAGCCGGCCUGAGAGGGUGACCGGCCACAUUGGGACUGAGAUACGGCCCAGACUCCUACGGGAGGCAGCAGGGGGGAAUAUUGCACAAUGGGCGGAAGCCUGAUGCAGCAACGCCGCGUGCGGGAUGACGGCCUUCGGGUUGUAAACCGCUUUCGCCUGAGACGAAGCGUGAGUGACGGUAAUGGGUAAAGAAGCACCGGCUAACUACGUG
Molecule: ribosomal RNA, 468 nt
Filed under: uncultured bacterium
Lineage: Bacteria
Description: partial 16S ribosomal RNA
Rfam family: Bacterial small subunit ribosomal RNA
Source: RNAcentral